This 243-nucleotide non-coding RNA is filed under the name Lentilactobacillus diolivorans. Its description in RNAcentral is "Lactobacillus diolivorans T-box sequence". It matches the Rfam family "T-box leader". From Rfam's summary of the family: Uncharged tRNA acts as the effector for transcription antitermination of genes in the T-box leader family. T-boxes are found upstream of many aminoacyl-tRNA synthetase genes and some amino acid biosynthetic genes usually in Gram-positive bacteria. The anticodon of a specific tRNA base pairs to a specifier sequence within the T-box motif, and the NCCA acceptor tail of the tRNA base pairs to a conserved bulge in the T-box antiterminator hairpin. The record is from RNAcentral. Lineage: Bacteria; Bacillati; Bacillota; Bacilli; Lactobacillales; Lactobacillaceae.
CAUUAGACGUUGAAGAGAAGAGUAGCGUUUAUGCGAAUUUGACAGAGAGCUUUGUUUGGUGAAAGAAGCAAUUUGCAGCGACGUGAAGAUGAGCUCUGAGUCUGACAUCCGGUUCAAAGGCUAGGGUGUCCGGUAGCGACCGAUACAUUGCGGGGUAUUCCAACUUAAAGGGAGUACCUGUCGAGGUUGUUAUUGUGAAAUGACAACAAAUCAGGGUGGCAUCACGAAGCUUUCGUCCCGUAG